UCUGACUUUAUUCUCAGAAUUUUGAGGUGGGCACCUGCAGGCUUCCAGCUUCAGUGACAGCGAUGUGUCCAGUUUGGCAGGUGGAGAACUAAUUCACUAAAUAUGGUGGAUAUAAGUGACUUUUUGCGUGGCCGAGGGGUCCCCGAAGAUGCUAUUUUAUUAAUGGAAGAGCAGAAGAUUGACUGUGACGUCAUAGCACUGAUGGAUGACGCAACUUUGGCAAACUACAUGUCCCUCGUACGGAGACCGAAUUGCCUCUUCAAUUUCUGCAAAAGCAAGUGUGGCAGGAUGAAUGUUAUCCCUCGAUCCAACCCACUUUCAGCCUGGUCCAUUAGGGGGCACUGGUAUAAAUAGUGGCCAUUCGAGUGUCUCUGCAUCGCUUGCCUGUGAUCUCCUUUUUGGUCACCUGACUUCCUCGGUGUGGUAGAGAUCGUUUGUGGGUUACUCCUCUGAAGUCUCCAUCGCGGCUGGUCGUAGCUAUAGAAGCCUCCUCUGAGCUAUUCUGCUUACAUUCUAUGACACGGCUUACUUGGAAGUGUGGGCCUUAGUUUUGCGCCAAGCUACGUGAACUGAAGUGCUGCUGUUUUGCCUUGCUGUGCUUUUAUCGUCUGUUCCCGUUGUGAGAUUUCUUUCCCUGCUGCUGUCAGCUUUUACAGUGGACGUCGGCGUGGACAACGGCCAUAUGCAUGCCGGUUAUCGGAGUCAGCUGGCGUGCAUAUUGAUUGACUGUUAACUUGUCGUCGUGUGACGGCAAGUUGGAGCAGUACGGCGAUUCCGUUUGCUCCAGAUUUUAGAGUUUUAUCCAGAUUGUAUGUUUUAUUGCUUUUGAUUUGUAGUUUGGAUUUUUGUUACACCACUGGUGGGAGGCCCUUUUUCUAGCUGUAGAUCACCAGUGUGGUCUUGCAGUUGGGUUAUCCCCCGGUGCUACACAUUAGUUUGUUGUAAUAUAUUAAAAUUUUCUUUGUUUCUUUUAUUCAGAUGCGGAGUGCCGACGUGGAGGAGACUAGGGUGCCUUGGUGGUGGGAUCCCUUGAGUGUACACACCUGCCUUGUUUAGUUUAUUAGUGUGAGUGUGUGUGAUAGUGUGCUGCACUUGUGUUUUGGGUGUGUUUUCUUUCUUUAGUUUGUGUGUGGCAUCCCUGCCCCUCCACUGGUAAGCCUCAGCUCUGAAUACCUUUUUAAGCAUAUUUGUACUUGAAUAUUUAUGAUUGUGCUUUUAUAUGGUGUUUUAAAUAAUUAUUAAUAAAUUGUCAAUUUGUUGAUCAUUGAACCUCGUCUCUGGAUUGAGUAUAGCGAACCUAAGUGCCUUUCUGGUGAUUUAGUGUUACUUUCAGUAUUCUCUGGGUGAAAUUCCCAGGGUGGCGUUGUCUUUUUAAAACUGCAAAGAGUAUUUACUUUAAUAUCCCAUCCUCGUCUCGCCACACAAGCAACCACUGUCAAAAAGAAAACUAGGACUUCUGCAAAAAGUUCACCUCUCAAAGUGAGAGAAACAGUGGCUGACAUAUCAGAUUUGGAUGACUUAAUAAGACUGUAUUUCAGACUUUCUUUCAGUAACAAAGAAAUACUUUCAAUUUUAGCACAUAGUCAUCAGACAAUUAUAAGUGUUCGAACUCUAAAGAGAAUUUGUAAAAGACUUGGGCUUUUUAGAAGGAAGAAUCAAUCAAACUUGGAGGAAGUGCUAGCCUUUGUCCAACAAGAGAUCAUGACAAAUGGACAGAUGCAAGGUUAUCGUUGGCUACAUCUACGUGCAAUUCAACAUGGAUUUGUGGUGUCACAAGAUACUGUAAGAUGCAUAAUCAAAUUGCUUGACCCUCAAGGUGUGGAACUGAGACGAGCUCGACGGUUGAGAAGACGACAGUACAGCUGCAGAGGGCCAAAUGCUCUCUGGCACAUGGAUGGCUAUGACAAGUUGAAACCAUAUGGUAUUGCUAUCAGUGGCUGCAUAGAUGGUUUUAGCCGCUAUGUUUUAUGGAUGGAGGCUUAUACUACAAACAGUGACCCUAAAUUGAUUGCAAGUUAUUUUCUGAAAACAGUUUCAUGCAUCAGCGGAUGUCCAGAAAGGUUACGUGCUGACCGAGGUACCGAAAAUGGUUGUGUCGAACAAAUGCAGAUGUUUUUACGGAGAAACCACACAGACAGUUUUGCAGGUGAGAAAAGUUUCCUUUACGGAAGAAGUACGGCCAACCAACGUAUAGAAGGAUGGUGGGCUACCCUACGCAAACAGAGUGCACAAUUUUGGAUGAACUUAUUUCAAACUUUUCAGGAUGAUGGCCACUUCACAGGGGAUUUUUUGGACAAAAGUCUUAUCCAAUUCUGCUUUCUCAAUCUUAUUCAGGUAAAAGCAUGUGCUCAUGCUAUGUAAUGUCUUAGCUGCAUAAAUAGAAAAUAUAAAUAUGGUUAGAACAUUUUUUUUCUUUAAAUUAAAUAUGAAUUUUAUUUCCAUUUUAAUGAGCCCACUUAUGCACAAUUGUCAUGGUUUUUUGUGUUUACAGUAUAGUGUUUUUUCUAUUACUGUAUUAUUGUGUUGUUGUUGUUUUUUUUGCUUUAUCUGAAUUCAUGGUACUGCAAUGUACAAUAUUGAGUAGGUCUAUUUGCGUUUUUGGUUGUUUGAAAAUGUGUCUCCUGAAAAUGUGCCUUCUGAAUAAACAAUGGAAAUCAAGGACUGCAGUGUUUUAUAUAAAGAAGACUAGUGUGUUCCCCCUGAUCUGUAAGUGUUUGCAUAUGAUGCAAGUAUGUGUCAUUUUGUCAACAGAGUUACAUUUUGACAAAGGAAUGUCAGGUUUUGACAGCAGAGUUUAGGUUUUGGGAGUAGAGUUUCAAUUUGGCACAGAUGUGAAUGGUAUAUUUCCCAGUGUUGUGUCAUGUGUACUUGUGUGUACAGUUUUGGCACAGAGAGCGGAGUUUUGCAAAAUGUGUUCAAGCAGUGGGCAAAAACUGUAACACCUGAAAAAAUGUCUUGUUACUGCCAGAAAUUAUGCAUUUUUAUUUGUAUGCAUGUAUGUUCUCAGUCAUUCACACUUGUUUUUAUUUCUAUACCAUAGAUGACACUGAAGGAAUAUGUGAUACCACAAUAGCCAGUGUUCAUGGUCUUUACAGUAAGUCACUGAUGUAUACUGAUGCAUAACAAGACUGUAUGAGAUCUAUAAGUUUGUUUUAAAAGUUGAGUCAUUCUUGUUACAGGGCAGCUUAUACGGUUAUGAGUUUUAGCCAUGUUAUUGGCAUUGGCAAGAACAGGUUUCUUGUAAACUUUUUCCAAUAAAAUGUUACUGUACACAGUACAUUUGUAUUGUUGUUUUGAAUAUGUUCAUCAACUCCUUAUCUAUUUGAACAUGCCAGAAUUCAAGAGACUGCCACACAUGAGCUCAGUAACAUGGAAGAAUACCAUUUAUUUUUAAUUUCAAACAUUUCAUAAAGAUACACAAAUAUAAAUGUAAAACAUGUUGCACUUAAUGGGACAAUAACUUGGUUCCACUUGCAGGAACUGUUUUGUUGCAUUGUUGCUGGGAUACUACAAAUAAAAGUCAAAAUAUU
Long non-coding RNA from Haplochromis burtoni (Burton's mouthbrooder), 3530 nucleotides. RefSeq lists it as uncharacterized. Lineage: Eukaryota; Metazoa; Chordata; Actinopteri; Cichliformes; Cichlidae. The transcript has 3 exons. The record is from RefSeq and is a predicted model, not a curated record.